Molecule: ribosomal RNA, 465 nt
Filed under: Vreelandella stevensii
Lineage: Bacteria; Pseudomonadati; Pseudomonadota; Gammaproteobacteria; Oceanospirillales; Halomonadaceae
Description: partial 16S ribosomal RNA
Rfam family: Bacterial small subunit ribosomal RNA
Source: RNAcentral
CCUACGGGUGGCUGCAGUGGGGAAUAUUGGACAAUGGGGGCAACCCUGAUCCAGCCAUGCCGCGUGUGUGAAGAAGGCCCUCGGGUUGUAAAGCACUUUCAGUGAGGAAGAACGCCUGGUGGUUAAUACCCAUCAGGAAAGACAUCACUCACAGAAGAAGCACCGGCUAACUCCGUGCCAGCAGCCGCGGUAAUACGGAGGGUGCGAGCGUUAAUCGGAAUUACUGGGCGUAAAGCGCGCGUAGGUGGCUUGAUAAGCCGGUUGUGAAAGCCCCGGGCUCAACCUGGGAACGGCAUCCGGAACUGUCAAGCUAGAGUGUAGGAGAGGAAGGUAGAAUUCCCGGUGUAGCGGUGAAAUGCGUAGAGAUCGGGAGGAAUACCAGUGGCGAAGGCGGCCUUCUGGACUGACACUGACACUGAGGUGCGAAAGCGUGGGUAGCAAACAGGAUUAGAUACCCUUGUAGUC